AGAGUUUGAUCCUGGCUCAGAACGAACGCUGGCGGCAGGCCUAACACAUGCAAGUCGAGCGAGGGGUAACCCUAGCGGCGGACGGGUGAGUAACGCGUGGGAACGUGCCCUUUGCUACGGAAUAAGCCCCUGGAAACGGGGAGUAAUACCGUAUGAGCCCUUAGGGGGAAAGAUUUAUCGGCAAAGGAUCGGCCCGCGUUGGAUUAGGUAGUUGGUGGGGUAAUGGCCUACCAAGCCGACGAUCCAUAGCUGGUUUGAGAGGAUGAUCAGCCACACUGGGACUGAGACACGGCCCAGACUCCUACGGGAGGCAGCAGUGGGGAAUCUUAGACAAUGGGCGCAAGCCUGAUCUAGCCAUGCCGCGUGAGCGAUGAAGGCCUUAGGGUUGUAAAGCUCUUUCAGGGGGGAAGAUAAUGACUGUACCCCCAGAAGAAGCCCCGGCUAACUCCGUGCCAGCAGCCGCGGUAAUACGGAGGGGGCUAGCGUUGUUCGGAAUUACUGGGCGUAAAGCGCACGUAGGCGGACUGGAAAGACAGGGGUGAAA
Molecule: ribosomal RNA, 544 nt
Filed under: uncultured freshwater bacterium
Lineage: Bacteria
Description: bacterial SSU rRNA
Rfam family: Bacterial small subunit ribosomal RNA
Source: RNAcentral